This 66-nucleotide small RNA is filed under the name Arabidopsis thaliana (thale cress). Its description in RNAcentral is "ATSL238930". Lineage: Eukaryota; Viridiplantae; Streptophyta; Magnoliopsida; Brassicales; Brassicaceae. The record is from RNAcentral.
CUUAUUGGUUAAUGAUGAUAAAUCCAAAGGCUUGUUUUUCAAACAUUCGCAGUGGCCGCCUAAGAG